GGGCCCAUGGUCUAGUGGCUAUGACAUCGCCUUCACAUGGCGGGGAUCGCCGGUUCAAAUCCGGCUGGGCCCA
RNAcentral lists this transfer RNA (73 nucleotides) under Candidatus Woesearchaeota archaeon. Its description in RNAcentral is "tRNA-Val". It matches the Rfam family "tRNA". From Rfam's summary of the family: Transfer RNA (tRNA) molecules are approximately 80 nucleotides in length. Lineage: Archaea; Nanobdellati; Candidatus Woesearchaeota. The record is from RNAcentral.